GCUCAGUGUACAGGCUAUACUUAGCUGUAAAUCACCAUGUUUUAAUGGUUACCACCCAAUGAGAAUCAAACUUUCUUUAGGAAAAAAAGUAGAAAGUACAAAUGCAAAACACAGUUAAAAAGAACUAUUCAUAUCAAGGUUUCCUGCUUGCAUGAUUAAAAUAGGUGAUUUUUAAUUGCUUUGAUCUGAAUCAAUCUACCCUGAUUAGUAGUCCCUCCAUGUUGAGCUGGGAGGUAAAUUUAGCAAGAAUAUAAUUAAGGCCUUGAGCCAGCUUCUUGUAUUGCAUUGGCAAACAGGGCUCUCAUGGAACCCUGUUGGCUUGAAUAGAGCUGCAUGUGGGUGCCAGGAUCUUUCCACAUGGAGCAAGUUGCAGGAUCAGGGCCAAAAGAAUUUUACAUGCAGCUUUUCUCUGUAACCACGACCGCUAGAAACUUAAAGGACAGCUGUGAUUCUCCCAUAACCCCUUGACUCCAGGAAUUGGGGCUUUAAGUAAACCUCCAAAUAUUAUGAUCAAUAAAAUCUUGAGCCUUGGCAAUGCUGCCAGAUAUGGAAAAUCAGGGGAUUGGCAAAAUAGCAGCAAUCACUAGCUCACUAAAAAACGCUGGCAAAAUCUAAGAACCAGAAAUCCAUCUUGAAAACUCUUGAGCUACUCUCAACCAAAAUGUGAGGACGUGGGGCAUGUGACGACCAAUUCCUGGAUGCAGAGUUUGAGGAGAAAUGAACUAGAGUUUUUGCAACAUGCACAUUGUUUACUCAGAUUCCAUUCGGCUAAUUCCUGUCUGAAAGGUGAGCAUGCUGUUAUGAGCUGGGUGAAAUCUUGCUAUGAGCUGAGUUAAACCCUUUUGAAUGCACCUUUCAUUUAAGAUUUCUCAAAUUAAAGAGACAGUUCAGGGGGGACAGCUGACACCAGUUCUGGGAGUCUGCCCAGAAACCAGCAACAGUGGGCAGAGGGCUCCACUGGCUACAGUUCUGAUCAGGUGUGUGUAUGGUGGUGAGGGGAGAGACAAGCUGCAGGGCAGACGAGAACCUGAAAGAAUGAGACCGACAGAGGGACAGCCUGAGCAAGCUGGAUGUCUGACUCUGGAAGAACCUAGAGAGAAGGGGGCAAGGAAGGAGAGAGAAUUAUACUUAUUAAAGAAAAUGCAGUACAAAAAGCACUUCCCCAAAGCAGUAUUUUUUUGGAAUGACCUCUCCUUCAAAAUCUAGAAAGUCUGGUGCUCUGAAUUUUUCCAGAGUUGGAAUAAACUGCAAGCCAGCUGUCUACUGUCCAGCAAUCACACUCCAAGGUUUGACUCUUAGCCAAGGUCUACACUACGAGUUUAGGUCGAAUUUAGCAGCGUUAGGUCGAUUUAACCCUGCACCUGUCCACACGAUGAAGCCAUUUUUGUCAACUUAAAGGGCUCUUAAAAUCGAUUUUU
Dermochelys coriacea (leatherback sea turtle) is the source of this 1418-nucleotide long non-coding RNA. RefSeq lists it as uncharacterized. NCBI's taxonomy places the organism in Eukaryota, Metazoa, Chordata, Testudines, Dermochelyidae. The transcript has 4 exons. The record is from RefSeq and is a predicted model, not a curated record.